This 226-nucleotide non-coding RNA is filed under the name unclassified sequences. The record is from Rfam.
AUAGGUCAGUCGUAGUAACCCCUUUGGGCGAAAUCAGUACCUUUUGCAGAGGGAGGGCUUGUUCCCGGCUACCAAGCCAAAACACCCUGUCCGAUGUAGUCAGCCGGACGCUUCUUGCAUGGUGAGCGAUUGUACGGUAGCUCAUUUCAUGGCUGGUACUACAAGCAGUUAGAACCCGUACCCGACAAUAAGACUGUACGGAGGGGAACCUUCUAUGACAAGUGAA